This 425-nucleotide ribosomal RNA is filed under the name uncultured bacterium. RNAcentral's name for it is "bacterial SSU rRNA". It matches the Rfam family "Bacterial small subunit ribosomal RNA", at positions 354 to 796 of the family's 1533-position model. The record is from RNAcentral.
GUUAGGAAUUUUGGGCAAUGGGCGAAAGCCUGACCCAGCAACGCCGCGUGGGUGAUGAAGGCCUUCGGGUCGUAAAGCCCUUUUUCAGGGGAAGAUAAUGACGGUACCCUGAGAAUAAGCCCCGGCUAACUACGUGCCAGCAGCCGCGGUAAUACGUAGGGGGCAAGCGUUGUCCGGAUUUAUUGGGCGUAAAGCGCGUGUAGGCGGCCAAGUGUGUCGUGCGUGAAAUCUCCCGGCUUAACUGGGAGGGGCCGUGCGAAACUGCCUGGCUUGAGUUCGGUAGGGGGAAUUGGAAUUCCGGGUGUAGUGGUGGAAUACGUAGAUAUCCGGAGGAACACCAGUGGCGAAGGCGGAUUCCUGGGCCGAUACUGACGCUGAGACGCGAAAGCGUGGGGAGCGAUCCGGAUUAGAAACCCCGGUAGUCC